Molecule: long non-coding RNA, 1152 nt
Filed under: Gouania willdenowi (blunt-snouted clingfish)
Lineage: Eukaryota; Metazoa; Chordata; Actinopteri; Blenniiformes; Gobiesocidae
Description: lncRNA (ENSGWIG00000015002.1)
Source: RNAcentral
GUCCACUUUAAACCUGCUGUUAAAAUUUGUCUUUUGAGUGACCUUUAAUAAUUGGUUUUAGUUGUUUAUUGCCAAUGUUUCCUAUGUACUGUAUUAUGUUUUCAUUCAUUUCAUAUUUUGUUAAUGCAGUUGUAAUUAUUUUAUUUAAAAACAAAGAAAGAGAGGAAAUAUAAAACCUUGUAUUUCAGGUGUUACUGCAACCUAGUGGCUCCCAGGUGGAAGUAGAACCAGAACUGAAGGCGGAUCCAGUCCUCCACCAUAGCCCGUGUGACAGUAGCAGAGGUAGGAGCUAAGAUGUCUGAUGCUGUGGCUCACACGCUAUGCUGGCUGCUGGUUGUGUUGGUUCUACGUCCUGGGACAGCAGCAGAAACCUCUUUAUGGAGCGUGGACAUCAACUUAGUACAGUGGGGGUCGAUCCUCGGUCUCUGGCUGAAAAGGUUGAGAACCACUGCAUUUAGAGUGAUCAGUGUUUCCUGAGCAGAUCAUCGCCUUUGGACUGAGGAGGAGCCCAAAGACCAUCCUGAUGGAGCCUUUGGACAACAUCUACAGCUUGGUCCAGGAGGAGGAGUGGAACAGUCUUCUUCUUGAUGUUAAUGAUGUGAUAGAGCUCUGUCCAGAGAUUGCAGAUAUGGUGCUCUGGGCCUCUACUGACCCCCUGAUGUCAUCAUCUCCUCCUCCUCCUCCUCCUCCUCCUCCUCCUCCUCCUCCUCCAUCCUCAGCUGAGCUCCAAUCUUACAGCGUGCCAUUCCUCAUGCCUGAAGGAAACAAUUAUUUUCACCUUUUUGGAGAACGGUUAGCAAAGCAAAACAAACAAACAAACAAACAGACCUGAUUGAUCACAGACGUUGGUUCACAUGUUUGUGACAUGAUUUCUCAUCCAGUGUGUUUAUGUUUUUAUCUUUGUAGAGAUCUGGAUGGCGUAGUGGCAGCCAUGCCAUCAGAGGCCCUGGAACCCAUCCCAGUUCCAAAGUGAGUGUCCUUGAGUUGUUUUAAUUGUCUUUUUUCUGAGUGACUCUAGAUCAGAGUGUCUCCCUGCUCUCUCUCUCUACUACUCUCAGCUACUGUUUCCCUGCUCUGCUCACUGUUUGUGUUUGUAGUGGAGGAUGUGGGGCUAGAAGCUCGCAUGUUAAAAUAAAACAGCAACUUUUUGCA